Molecule: RNA transcript, 1888 nt
Organism: Elaeis guineensis (African oil palm)
Lineage: Eukaryota; Viridiplantae; Streptophyta; Magnoliopsida; Arecales; Arecaceae
Source: RefSeq, a predicted model, not a curated record
AAUGAAAUGGAAUAGCCCCCUAAUUCCCCUUGCGCAUUGGCCGCCUCCUCCCGCGCACCCCGGAUCCGAUCGCGCGCAUCGCAUCAGAGAUCCGAUUUCCAGGGGUGCCGCCGGGGAGAUGACCCGGUGCGUCAGCUUCACCGCCUUUAGGGACCGGUGCUACGACCACACGUUCUACGCCGCCGGGCUACGCCCCACCAACACCGUCCUCGGUGACGGCGCCACCGUCCACUUCUGGGCCCCAAGGUCCCCCAACCCCGCCCGCCCCCCGCUCCUCCUCAUCCACGGCUUUGGAGCCAACGCCAAGUGGCAGUGGGCCGGCUACCUCCGCCCGCUUCUCCGAUCCGGGUUCGACCUAUACGUCCCCGACCUUCUCUUCUUCGGCGGCUCGGAGGCGCCCGGGCCGGACCGAUCGGAGACGUACCAGGCUCGGUGCCUGGCGGCGGCCAUGGAGGUGGCCGGGGUCCGGCGGUUCGGGGUGGUCGGGGUGAGCUACGGGGGGUUCGUGGCGUACAGGAUGGCGGCCAUGUUCCCGGAGGCGGUGGAGCGGGCGGUGCUCAUCUGCGCCGGGGUGUGCAUCGAGGAGCGGGACCUCGCCGCCGGCCUCUUCGUCGUCAACAACCCCGACGACGCCGCCAGCAUCCUCCUGCCCCAGCGGCCGGACAAGCUCCGCCAGCUCGUCCGUCUCUCCUUCUGCAAUCCGCCACGCAUCAUGCCCUCUUGUUGUUUCCGGGACUACAUCCAGGUGAUGUGCACAGAUUAUGUUACUGAGAAAACAGAGUUGAUCAAUACUCUAAUCAAGGACAGAAAACUUUCGGAUCUUCCUAAAAUAAUGCAGCCAACAUUGAUAAUAUGGGGAGAACAAGAUAAAAUAUUUCCAUUGGAACUGGGUCACCGAUUACAAAGGCAUUUACAGGAGAAUUCUCAACUAGUAGUUAUCAAGAAUGCUGGCCAUGCCGUUAAUCUAGAGAAGUCCAAAGAGCUCUGCGAGCAUAUACAGGCAUUUUUUCUUAGUUUUUCUCCCUACAGUCACAAAGAUCAGAUGAGUUAUGGAACGAGGUGGAAAGUAAUAGUUAGAUUUGCUGGGUUGAGCAUGAGGAGGCUUGCUUCUAAACUUCCACUGCUAUUACAGAAAAAGACAUGGAUAAAUCAGGCCAAUUAGAUGAGCUUGCCAAGGACAUCAAGAAGCAACAUCUAUGCCUAAAAUUUUGUAAGGUGUAACAUAAUUAAUAACUGAUUGCCCUUUUUCAUGACUAUAUGCUUAUGCAAGCGGGAGAGCUGCAUUCCUAAAAGAGUACGGAGCUGUUGCACAUAAAUCCAGAAGAAUAUCAUUUGUGAAGACAGAUUGUUCAUUCAGAAGAAUUGCUGGAAGUUUUAUAAAGUCAUUGAUGAUUUUUUUAGCCUUCUCCUUAUCAGGGUCCCACCCCAAAAAAAAAUGGUCGAAGGCUCAUAGUCUACAUUGAAUGGUGCAGAUUGAAUCUGAUUAUCUCUGGAAUUUUUGUAAUGCCAUCUCAAUUCUUAUUACCAUUGCCAUUUGAAACUUGAGUUUGUGUUAGAGGUCCAUCACCAGCAUAUUUUCUCUUCUUUCGUCUAUGAGUGUGACCUUAGGUGAUGUGUCUUUCAGCGAGUGAAUUCGGCCAUUUGCUGCUACACAACAAAGGAGGUGGAAAUCAUUGGCAAUGGGUUUCCACCCUCCAGAGUUCAUCUGAUAAUAUUGAUUCAUCAAUCCCUAAGACAACCAUUAAGGAGUGGAGAACUUGGAUGUGAAGUCCAAGCCCUAUACUGAGCGGCAAGAUGUUCAAGCUAGAGAAAUUGAGGACAACGGAUGAAAUCUGUGGUGGAUGAAUUCAGCUUGAUUGAUAAUAAAACAUCUUUUUUGGUAAGAUUA